CAUGGCUGUCGUCAGCUCGUGUCGUGAGAUGUUGGGUUAAGUCCCGCAACGAGCGCAACCCUUGUUCUGUGUUGCCAGCAUGCCCUUCGGGGUGAUGGGGACUCACAGGAGACCGCCGGGGUCAACUCGGAGGAAGGUGGGGACGACGUCAAGUCAUCAUGCCCCUUAUGUCUUGGGCUGCACACGUGCUACAAUGGCCGGUACAAUGAGCUGCGAUACCGCGAGGUGGAGCGAAUCUCAAAAAGCCGGUCUCAGUUCGGAUUGGGGUCUGCAACUCGACCCCAUGAAGUUGGAGUUGCUAGUAAUCGCAGAUCAGCAUUGCUGCGGUGAAUACGUUCCCGGGCCUUGUACACACCGCCCGUCACGUCACGAAAGUCGGUAACACCCGAAGCCGGUGGCCCAACCCCUUGUGGGAGGGAGCUGUCGAAGGUGGGACUGGCGAUUGGGACG
RNAcentral lists this ribosomal RNA (450 nucleotides) under Streptomyces flavovariabilis. RNAcentral describes it as "bacterial SSU rRNA". It matches the Rfam family "Bacterial small subunit ribosomal RNA", at positions 1044 to 1482 of the family's 1533-position model. The record is from RNAcentral. Lineage: Bacteria; Bacillati; Actinomycetota; Actinomycetes; Kitasatosporales; Streptomycetaceae.